AUGAACGCUGGCGGCGUGCCUCAUACAUGCAAGUCGCGCGCACAGACGAGGAGCUUGCUCCUCUGACGUUAGCGGCGGACGGGUGAGUAACACGUGGAUAACCUACCUAUAAGACUGGGAUAACUUCGGGAAACCGGAGCUAAUACCGGAUAAUAUAUUGAACCGCAUGGUUCAAUAGUGAAAGACGGUUUUGCUGUCACUUAUAGAUGGAUCCGCGCCGCAUUAGCUAGUUGGUAAGGUAACGGCUUACCAAGGCGACGAUGCGUAGCCGACCUGAGAGGGUGAUCGGCCACACUGGAACUGAGACACGGUCCAGACUCCUACGGGAGGCAGCAGUAGGGAAUCUUCCGCAAUGGGCGAAAGCCUGACGGAGCAACGCCGCGUGAGUGAUGAAGGUCUUCGGAUCGUAAAACUCUGUUAUUAGGGAAGAACAAAUGUGUAAGUAACUAUGCACGUCUUGACGGUACCUAAUCAGAAAGCCACGGCUAACUACGUG
This 496-nucleotide ribosomal RNA is filed under the name uncultured bacterium. Its description in RNAcentral is "partial 16S ribosomal RNA". It matches the Rfam family "Bacterial small subunit ribosomal RNA", at positions 29 to 507 of the family's 1533-position model. The record is from RNAcentral.